This 281-nucleotide long non-coding RNA is filed under the name Mytilus galloprovincialis (Mediterranean mussel). The record is from RNAcentral. Lineage: Eukaryota; Metazoa; Mollusca; Bivalvia; Mytilida; Mytilidae.
GUAUCAAUAGCCAACUGUGAAGUUUUUAUUUCAGUAUCCCCAAUUUUUAUACCAGAUAUCUGAUUGUUCUUACGAAUACUUAUUGCCAGCAGUUCAACGGCCAAAAUAAAUAAAAAAGGAGACAAAGGACACCCUUGUCGAACACCUCUCUCAAUUUUGAAUGGACUAAAGCUAAAUCUAUUAUUAACGACAAGACUAGAUAUUUUUGAGUAUAAAGUUAAGACCCAUUUCCGGAACUUGCUACCAAAAUUAAAACAAACCAAUGCUUUUUGAACAAAAUU